Molecule: ribosomal RNA, 486 nt
Filed under: uncultured bacterium
Lineage: Bacteria
Description: partial 16S ribosomal RNA
Rfam family: Bacterial small subunit ribosomal RNA
Source: RNAcentral
AUUGAACGCUGGCGGCAUGCCUUACACAUGCAAGUCGAACGGCAGCACGGGGGGUAACCCCUGGUGGCGAGUGGCGAACGGGUGAGUAAUAUAUCGGAACGUGUCCUGUAGCGGGGGAUAACCUAUCGAAAGAUGGACUAAUACCGCAUACGACCUUCGGGUGAAAGCGGAGGACCGCAAGGCUUCGCAUUUUAGGACCGGCCGAUAUCGGAUUAGCUCGUUGGCAGGUUAACGGCCCACCAAGGCGACGAUCCGUAGCUGGUCUGAGAGGACGAUCAGCCACACUGGAACUGAGACACGGUCCAGACUCCUACGGGAGGCAGCAGUGGGGAAUUUUGGACAAUGGGCGCAAGCCUGAUCCAGCCAUGCCGCGUGAGGGAAGAAGGCCUUCGGGUUGUAAAGCUCUUUCGGCGGGGACGAAACGGUUCGUGCUAAUACCACGGACUACUGACGGUACCCGAAGAAGAAGCACCGGCUAACUACGUG